RNAcentral lists this ribosomal RNA (274 nucleotides) under uncultured bacterium. Its description in RNAcentral is "partial 16S ribosomal RNA". It matches the Rfam family "Bacterial small subunit ribosomal RNA", at positions 523 to 796 of the family's 1533-position model. The record is from RNAcentral.
AGACGGAGGGGGCUAGCGUUAUUCGGAAUUACUGGGCGUAAAGGGCGCGUAGGCGGAUUAGUAAGUUGGGAGUGAAAGCCCGGGGCUUAACCUCGGAACUGCUUUCAAAACUGCUAGUCUUGAGUGAAGUAGGGGGUGAUGGAAUUCCUAGUGUAGAGGUGAAAUUCUUAGAUAUUAGGAGGAACACCGGUGGCGAAGGCGGUCACCUGGACCUCAACUGACGCUGCGGCGCGAAAGCGUGGGGAGCAAACAGGAUUAGAAACCCUAGUAGUCC